Non-coding RNA from Heliocybe sulcata, 84 nucleotides. The record is from the annotation of a GenBank genome assembly. Lineage: Eukaryota; Fungi; Basidiomycota; Agaricomycetes; Gloeophyllales; Gloeophyllaceae.
GGACCGAUGGUGUAGUUGGUUAUCACGUCUGUCUAACACCUGAAGGUGCACAGACGGUCCUCAGUUCAAGUCUGGGUCGGUUCA